This is a non-coding RNA of Trichonephila clavipes, 73 nucleotides long. Lineage: Eukaryota; Metazoa; Arthropoda; Arachnida; Araneae; Nephilidae. The record is from the annotation of a GenBank genome assembly.
GUCCCUGUAGCGCUAUUCAUAGAGCUUUGGACUUCCAAUCCAAAGGUCGUGGGUUCUAAUCCCACCUGGGAUG